GUUAGCGGUUAGGGUUAGGGUUUGGGGGUUAGGGUUAGGGUUAGGGGGUUAGGGUUAAGGUUAGGGUUAGGGUUUUAGGGUUAGGGUUAGGGGUCAGGGUAGGCGCUAACCUGUAUGCACUGUCCAUCUAAUGUCGCUCACUCCACUGGGUUUCACCCCCAUGUCAGUCGGUCCAUUCCCACCAUUCUUUUUCUCUUUUGUUUUUUUCUACAGGAACUAUACUGGCACGGGUCGGCCUACGGAACGGCGACCCGGAAAGAGUUCCCUCGGACUCAGUGUGAGAGGACUCUUGGGGAGAUUGGAACCAGGGAUUCUGGGGUGGCGUAGGUAUGCCUUUGCCCGUGUUUGUCCUUAUUGGGAGUUGUAAUUAAUCAAAUAAUGAUUCUUAUGAACAGGCCGACCAGAAGGGAAAAGAACAGUAGAGCGAAUUGCAAACAUGAGGCACG
Ictalurus punctatus (channel catfish) is the source of this 446-nucleotide long non-coding RNA. The record is from Ensembl. NCBI's taxonomy places the organism in Eukaryota, Metazoa, Chordata, Actinopteri, Siluriformes, Ictaluridae.